Regulatory RNA element from Scleropages formosus (Asian bonytongue), 69 nucleotides. It matches the Rfam family "Selenocysteine insertion sequence 1". Rfam says of the family: The incorporation of selenocysteine into a protein sequence is directed by an in-frame UGA codon (usually a stop codon) within the coding region of the mRNA. Selenoprotein mRNAs contain a conserved secondary structure in the 3' UTR that is required for the distinction of UGA stop from UGA selenocysteine. NCBI's taxonomy places the organism in Eukaryota, Metazoa, Chordata, Actinopteri, Osteoglossiformes, Osteoglossidae. The record is from Rfam.
UUGGCGCUUUGUGAAGGCCUGUUCCGAAAGCCCCCCCACGGGUGGGGGCAGGCCCGAUGUCACUGCCGA